This 382-nucleotide long non-coding RNA is filed under the name Olea europaea (common olive). RNAcentral describes it as "long non-coding RNA (OEUR_LNC009045)". Lineage: Eukaryota; Viridiplantae; Streptophyta; Magnoliopsida; Lamiales; Oleaceae. The record is from RNAcentral.
AUUAUUUGUCUAAUAAUAAGUCUUUACUGUAAAAGCAUGGUGCAUUUAAAGCAACUUCGUCACAAUGUUCUCCAUUCUGUUGCACUACCUGUUGCUCAAAUUUUGAUUAGGUACUUUCAUUGCAUUAUUUGUCUGAUAAUAAGUCUUUACUGUAAAAGCAUGGUGCAUUUAAAGCAACUUCGUCACAAUGUUCUCCAUUCUGUUGCACUACCUGUUGCUCAAAUUUUGAUUAGGUACUUUCAUUGCAUUAUUUGUCUGAUAAUAAGUCUUUACUGUAAAAGCAUGGUGUAUUUAAAGCAACUUUUUUCUACAUGGCAGCACAGUCAUUAAGACAAGCAACCGAUUUGAGCAAAAAAUUAAAAAAUGCUGUAAAUAUCCUAAU